GUUCAUGUGCCAGAAUAUCAACUGCAUUUUCAGGUCUGGUGUUUAAUUUCUGUCUCUUCAGCCAAGGCAGAUCAACGUUCAGCAAGUGAUUUCCAGGUGUGCCAGCUACUGUCAGCCAAAGCACAGUGCUCUGGGAUUCAAACAGCACUGAAGAGUCGACCUGCAGGGUGCCACAGCAUCUGCAGCUGCCUCAGGGCACUUUGGUGGGAACCCUUCAAAACUUUCAAUUCAGAACAGCACCUAUGUCAUAAGCACUUCAUAAAGUCCCGAUUAAAUUGCCCCAUUCUGUGGGACACAGCUACAGCCUUGAAGGUCGUGCUGCUGCUGUUGUGCGUCUGAGUCCCAGCGCUGGAAAUGAAAAGGUUCAGAGAAUCCUGACACCAAGGAGAGGCACAAAGCUGCACUCUGCUCAUGACAGCUUCUCUUUACACCACAGCUUUUCCUCUGAGCAUGUUCCAGUGUCUCUGCACUCCCAGUCCACCUGCAGCAGCCAGGGCCAGGCUCUCGUAGCCUGGCUCUCCUGCUGGGAGCUUCUCAGAGCACGAGCCGCCUCCUUUCCAGCAGAUCGCAGGUGUUCUCCACAUGGCGUGAGCAGGUGA
Molecule: long non-coding RNA, 599 nt
Filed under: Cyanistes caeruleus (blue tit)
Lineage: Eukaryota; Metazoa; Chordata; Aves; Passeriformes; Paridae
Description: lncRNA (ENSCCEG00000012161.1)
Source: RNAcentral